CCUGUUUAUCUGAGCCCAUAACUCUGGAUAUCUGUUGUGAGCAGCUAUAGGAUCUUCACCUGAGCAAUGAAUGCAUUCAGAUUUAUCCGAGGAUGUUUUUGAACCAUGGUGCAGUUUCUGGGUGCGUUAAAUCCAGCAUCCCCACAUCAAAGGCCGUGUUAGGAACCAUGGCUGAUCAUGGGCCAAGCUGAGGUAACUGCCCUUUCAAUCCCCGGUAAACACAGGCCAGGCCGAGCAGGGCAAGGACUAUAAAAUGAAGUGUAUCCGGGAUAUAUAUAUGCAUUUGAAAUUACCUGCAG
Molecule: long non-coding RNA, 299 nt
Organism: Chenopodium quinoa (quinoa)
Lineage: Eukaryota; Viridiplantae; Streptophyta; Magnoliopsida; Caryophyllales; Amaranthaceae
Exons: 3
Source: RefSeq, a predicted model, not a curated record